CAAAGAAGCAGCGGGCAGCGCCGCAGGUUUUUCCUGGGGAUGAACCCGCGAGAGUGGAAGAGCUCCGGAGAACAUCUGCACUGUGUGUCGAUGCACCUUACGAGAUAAUAAGGCCAGCAAGCAAGGCAACUGCAAUGAAGCAUCAAGAAAGACAUGGACAUGCCAGCCACCCUGAGACUGAUAAUUCAUGAGAAGACAUUUCUGUCAAAGUGGAUGGUGAGCAAAGAUGAUGGCUACGUUUUGGAGCAGCACCUGGGUUUUGCAGAUGGCUAUGUAUUCUUUGGCUGUUUGUCUUUUUUCCCCAUUUUGUUUCUGUUGCCUAAAGAUUCUUUGUGAGGAUAAAUCACAACAUAAUGCACUGCAAAACGUCCUAAGACAGGAGAAAUGGUGAAGAUGCACUGUUCCAGCACUGGAAGACUGUAUUUUUAUGUGUUAUA
This is a long non-coding RNA of Onychostoma macrolepis, 437 nucleotides long. RefSeq lists it as uncharacterized. Lineage: Eukaryota; Metazoa; Chordata; Actinopteri; Cypriniformes; Cyprinidae. The record is from RefSeq and is a predicted model, not a curated record. The transcript has 3 exons.